UUGUUGUUUUUCCAUUUCUGCCCUUGCCUCGAGUAAUGACCGUCUUUCUUCUUGAACGAGGGCUUGUUCGAGUAGUAAUCUUUCUUCUGAGCGGAACUCCCCGAUGGCCCUGAUGAAAAGGGGCGUUUAAAAUCAGGAUGACAAACACGCCACGCAUCCUGAUACGCCAUCUGCAUUUCCACCUGAUUCGCAGUAGGAGCACCAGCACCAACAGCCUGCGUUCGAUUCGGAGGUCUAACUUGCGAAUUCAAAACCAUAGGAUUAUUACUUUGCAACAAAUUAGGGUUAGGGUUAGGGUUUUGCGGCUGUUGAUUGCUAACGGGACGCUGUAACGGUCGAAGAUGUGCGUCGAUGUUAGAUGGAAAGCGAGAGAUUGCUUGCUGCAGUUUCUGCUGCUGCUGCAUUUGCUGUAGCAGAAGCAUUCGUUGUUGGAGAUGGUGCGGCUGGUGAUCUAAAAGUUGUUGUUGUUGUUGCUGUUGUUGUUGUUUCAGGGUUAGGAGUUGCUGGUGUUUGUUGUGGUCGGUAAUCGUGGGCUUGUUGUCUUCCAUUUUUGGUAGUCGUUGUCGCCCCGUCGGAUCCGGCGGAAACCCUUUUUACGGGAGACUGAAUUCACGAUAUGCG
RNAcentral lists this long non-coding RNA (621 nucleotides) under Helianthus annuus (common sunflower). RNAcentral's name for it is "sRNA HanXRQr2_Chr06g0274371". The record is from RNAcentral. Lineage: Eukaryota; Viridiplantae; Streptophyta; Magnoliopsida; Asterales; Asteraceae.